CCUACGGGGGGCAGCAGUGAGGAAUAUUGCACAAUGGGCGCAAGCCUGAUGCAGCGACGCCGCGUGGGUGAUGAAGGCUUUCGGGUCGUAAAGCCCUUUUCUAGGUGACGCGGUAGCCUAGGAAUAAGUGUCGGCUAACUACGUGCCAGCAGCCGCGGUAAAACGUAGGACACAAGCGUUAUCCGGAGUUACUGGGCGUAAAGGGCGUGUAGGCGGAAUUGUAAGUCUAUUCUGAAAGCUCCUGGCUAAACUGGGAGAGGCGAAUGGAGACUGCAAAUCUAGAGUGAGGAAGAGGAAAGUGGAAUUCCGCGUGUAGUGGUGAAAUGCGUAGAGAUGCGGAGGAACACCAGUGGCGAAAGCGACUUUCUGGUCCUUACUGACGCUGAGGCGCGAAAGCAUGGGGAGCGAACGGGAUUAGAUACCCCUGUAGUC
Molecule: ribosomal RNA, 432 nt
Filed under: uncultured bacterium
Lineage: Bacteria
Description: partial 16S ribosomal RNA
Rfam family: Bacterial small subunit ribosomal RNA
Source: RNAcentral